This is a long non-coding RNA of Carassius gibelio (silver crucian carp), 1643 nucleotides long. RefSeq lists it as uncharacterized. Lineage: Eukaryota; Metazoa; Chordata; Actinopteri; Cypriniformes; Cyprinidae. The transcript has 3 exons. The record is from RefSeq and is a predicted model, not a curated record.
UCCAGCAGGGAACCUAAGCCACAUACUUUCUUAAGCUUGGCACACUAGUCAAUAACUCCGGAAAAAUGCACUUAGAUUAAAUAUUUCAAAUACCACAAUGUCUGCAAGUGUAAGGCUAAUGUGGUAAAAAAAAAAAAAAAAAAAAACAACACGGAGAAAAACAUUCCUAACAUAUCUCAAUGUCAAAGCUAUGUUCUAGAUUUUCAUAUUGCAAUAAUCUAUUCACAAUAAACUGUAGCUAUAUAGAUUUAUGUUAUGUCUAUGCGAUGCACAAGAUAAAUGUGAAUUUUUUUAAGGUCUUUGCAUACUAGACAAUAACCUUUUUCAACACUGUACUGUUAACAAAACAGCAUUUCAUUUCUUUUUUACAAAGUAGUAAGCUACAAGAUUUUUUUACAUUUUAACAUUUAUUGUGCAGAAAAAAAAUGUAUUACUAUAAAAAUAUAUUUUUUUUUUUUACAAACUGAGGGACUUUGUUUUGCAUUACAUAAGCUUCUUUUUUUAUGAUAACCCCACCUGUUUGAGUCCACAGAUCCUGCAAGCUCCUCAUAUUCCAUGUGAAACACACUGGAGAAUGUGUUCUGUAACAUAAGCAGAACAGUAAUUACUUACUCUGCAGUUUCACUCACAGAGGUAAACUCUGAGGAGGUUUAACACAGAGGUAAGCCAGUAUUUCUGAGGCUUUUUAAUGCUAUUAGUGUCUGGCCGCCUGUGUAAACUUAACAUUGAAUAUCUGCAGUCACAUAGUUUAAUGUGCCUGUGUUUGUAAAUUUCUGGAAGGGUUAGAAUUUUCCACUCGUGACAAGUAAAUAGUUAUGUAGCAUGGUUCACUGCAAAAAGCAUUCUGCAAGCAGUCAAAACCAACCGUUCACAAUGGACCUGUGCAAUGAACAAGGAGAAAUGCAAUAAAUUCUGGUCUUUCCAAAUUUGAAGACACUAGAAGGACAAUGUCUGAAUAAAAUAUGGCGCAUUUCGAAUGCAGUUCAAGAGGUGAAACCUGCCUGAGUUAGGAAGUACACCUCAGUUUUCCACAAUGGUUAAUCUCUUUCCGUAACACUCACUAUGACUGUGACCAGGAAAAUGAUUUCAUCAAAUUAACAAGCUACUACAAAAAAGGUACAAAAAACUUUGUGUCAAGAUGAGGAAAACCAGAGAUUUUCCUAUGAAGAAAAAAGUAUGCAGAUCUAGUUUUCUGGGUCAACAAAUGACCUCUGAAUUAUGAUACACAUCUCAGAAACAGAAGUCCUUCUCUGUGAUAUCACCUUCAUCAUAACAACUCACCUAUCUAGACAACCUAAACAUGUGGAUGUAGAAUCUAGUUCCUUUGUAUCUGGCAUGUAUUAGUGUUGUUUUUACAAAUUAAAUACUAAACAAAGAUUUUUGCCUUUGCUUAGAAAGGACAGUUAAAGAAACCAGUUAGGAGAAAACAAAGAAGAAAAGAGAGGGGAAUGGGAUCAGGAAACGACCACAAGCUGGAACUCAGGUCGCCCGAAAACUGUUUCCCUGUCAGAAAUGAAGAUUGUGCAUUCUUGGGCCUGCAUGAAAGACAAGAUAGUGGCCACAGUUUUCCUCAGUAAGACCUCCAAAGACUGCUGCUCCUCAAAGAUCAGGCUAGCCAGAUCCAACAACACCUGCAAAACAAC